UACGUAGGUGGCGAGCGUUAUCCGGAAUUAUUGGGCGUAAAGGGUGCGCAGGCGGCAAGAAAAGCUUAAGGUGAAAGCGUGGGGCUCAACCCCAUAAAGCCUUAGGAACUAGCUUGCUAGAGUGCAGGAGAGGGCGAUGGAAUUCCAUGUGUAGCGGUGAAAUGCGUAGAUAUCACGCAGAACUCCGAUUGCGAAGGCAGCAUACCGGCGCCCAACUGACGCUGAAGCACGAAAGCGUGGGUAUCGAACAGG
This 252-nucleotide ribosomal RNA is filed under the name uncultured bacterium. RNAcentral's name for it is "partial 16S ribosomal RNA". It matches the Rfam family "Bacterial small subunit ribosomal RNA", at positions 524 to 776 of the family's 1533-position model. The record is from RNAcentral.